AACAUGUYUUAGGGAUUAUAAUUUUAAGUYUGAUCUGCUCCAUGAAUUUAUUUAAAUAGCCGCAGUAUUCUGACUGUGUGAAAGUAGCAUAAUCAAUAGUUUUUUAAUUAAAAGCUGGAAUGAAGGAUUUGAUAAGGUAAAUUUUGUCUCAAGUUUAUUAGAGUUAGAAUUUUUUUUUUAGUUAAAAAACUAAGGUGUGUUUAAAAGACGAGAAGACCCUAUAGAAUUUUAUAAUUUAAGUUGAAUUUAUUAUAAAUUUAAUAAUUAAUAGUUUAAUUAAAAAUUAUUAGGUUGGGGAAAUUAUUAAAUUAAAUAAAUUUUAAUUAAGUUUAAACAAUAAUUAUUGAUUAAUUUGAUCUUUAUUUAAAAAUUAAUAGAAUAAAUUACCUUAGGGAUAACAGCGUAAUUUUUUUGGAGAGAUCUUAUUAAUAAAAAAGUUUGCGACCUCGAUGUUGAAUUAAGAUAAAUUUUAAUGAAGUAGUUAAAAAUUUUUGGUCUGUUCGACCAUUAAAAUCUUACAUGAUCUGAGUUCAAACCGGA
RNAcentral lists this ribosomal RNA (540 nucleotides) under Photocryptus concinnus. RNAcentral describes it as "partial 16S large subunit ribosomal RNA". The stretch from base 394 to 540 matches the Rfam family "Archaeal large subunit ribosomal RNA", at positions 2544 to 2691 of the family's 2987-position model. Lineage: Eukaryota; Metazoa; Arthropoda; Insecta; Hymenoptera; Ichneumonidae. The record is from RNAcentral.